Anthonomus grandis grandis is the source of this 1668-nucleotide long non-coding RNA. RefSeq lists it as uncharacterized. The record is from RefSeq and is a predicted model, not a curated record. The transcript has 3 exons. Lineage: Eukaryota; Metazoa; Arthropoda; Insecta; Coleoptera; Curculionidae.
CGUCAAAAAUUGAUCCACACCCGGAAAGUACACAAGAUUCUUCUAACAAUCAAGAAAUAUUUUCAAUAUUAGGGGGUCACCCGUCUAUUUAAAAAACGGCCAUGAAGAAUUAGCUGUAAGGGGUCCACUUACCUUAGUCAGGGCAUAAAUCAAGAUAGUAGAAAAGAAUUAAUUCAAAAAUAUCCAAUACCAUCAAAUUGCCCUAAAAAAUGAUUAUUUCUUCUCAAACGUACAAAACCAACUAGGAGCAGCAUUAACAGCAUUAGGGACAACAAUAUCAAAAAAGCUUGCAGAACCCACAAAAGAUAUUGUUCUAGAUAUUGACUUAUUAGAAAAAUUAGUAGAUACUGCUCAACUAAUAACUAGUUCUCAUCAUGCAGUUUCAUUAAAAAGAAGAUUCGAAAUUAAUCCUCAUUUAAAUGAAGAGUCUAGAGCAGCGGCACUUCACACUCCAAUCGAUGGAUAUCUAUUUGGAGCCGAUUUUCUUAAGCAAGUUAAGUCUUGCCAAGAAAUAAAAAAAGUCGGACAGGAGUUAAAGAGGACUGUUCAGCCAAAACCAGGACCAUCAACUUCAACUGAUCAAAAUAAUUUAAACUCCAGGCGCUUUUUCCAGAAACACAGAACAAAAAGGGGGGGGGAAAGGAUCAAUUUAAGGCAGAAUCAGACAAAGAGGAAGGAGACAACCCACCACAGGCAGAAAUACAGGGAGAAACGCUACAAUCCCUAUCAGACGCAGUACAGAACGAAUAUGAAGUAGAGGGAACACCAUCCUCUAUACGAAACGCUUUCCCUGGUGGCCGGGAAAUUCCCAGCAGUUUUAUGAAUUUAAAAGGAAUACCUCAGGAAUCCAUAUCUAUAACGAUUUCAUCCAUCACAGAAAACACUUUGAAGCAAUAUUCACUUUGUUAUAAGAAAUGGUGGCAAUUUUGCCUAAAAAAAAGCCAAGACCCCUAUUUAUACAAUUUUAAUAUGAUAUUAGAAUUUUUAUCAGAGAGUUUUAAUUCCAAACUCUCAUAUUCUUCUUUAAAUUCGUACCGGUCGGGUCUGUCGUUAAUUUUCUCGUUUCCUACGGAGGAUGAAAAACUUUUAAAAAGAUUUUUUAAAGGCCUAUAUAAUAGGAAUCCCGCAUCUCCUAGGUAUUCCAUGACAUGGGAUCCAAACCCUGUUCUUAGCAGCUACGUUAUUACAUUAUUUACAACGGACAUCAUCUUAUCGCAGUAAUUUUAAGCCAUUAAUUUUAACUUAUAAGAAACCUUAUCAUCCUGCCACUACACAGACUAUUAGUAGAUGGGUAAAGUUAAUUUUAGGCAAAGGUGGUAUAAAUACAGAUAUAUUUAAAAGUCAUAGUACUCGUCAUGCAAGUACCUCUGCCGCAUUCUGUUCGGGUUUAAAUAUUGACCUUAUUCGUACAACAGCGGGUUGGACGGAGAAGUCUACUACAUUUAAUCAAUUUUAUAAUUUACCAUUAACCCAAAAUCCGGAAAAUUUUGCAAAAUCAAUAAUUGAAAGGGUACAAAAGGUGUAGGAAACAUAUUGGUUAGGAUCAUAAGCUGUAUCUGUUUUUCCAGCUGUUUCUGUCUCAUUUAGGUUAGGUAUUAAUAAGUUCGUUCUUGCAGUAUUUUUUAGAAAUAGUGUAUUACAUAUUUUUGCUAUUAGAAUAAACUUUAA